Molecule: long non-coding RNA, 690 nt
Filed under: Varroa destructor (honeybee mite)
Lineage: Eukaryota; Metazoa; Arthropoda; Arachnida; Mesostigmata; Varroidae
Description: uncharacterized LOC111251574, transcript variant X1
Source: RNAcentral
CAAGUGCUCGUUUGUUGCCGACUGAUAUUUAGUUGGUGAGAAACAAGCAUUCGUCCUGCAAGCAAGUGUUAUUCGGCAAGACGCCUUAUGGCACAGGAAGUUAGUUCUUACGUUGCAGCUGAUGCUAGCGUAAAGUAUUGAGGCGGGUUUUCACUAAAUAAACAUCAGCAAAGGAAUGGAGAGAAAGAGGAAGCAGUAGAUGAGUGCAGCAGAAAAAAUGGGGUGGUGCCGAGGCUGGCUGGCUGGCUGGCUGGCGAGUCAGACCCUGGAAUUACCGAGCGAGCGAGUAUGCCGGUGAAGCUGGGAAAACGACAAGAGCAGAUGAAACAAAAAAAAACCAUCGAGGAGAGAAAAAGAACAAAGACAACUAAAUAGGACGACAACGUUAGUACUUAGGCUAUCAAUCUACCCCUUGCUCGAUCGGGGAUUUUCGACACGCGUGGCGAAAAAGCUUAUACUGUAGCCACACAAGGAUCACGUAACGUACUCUAAAUGCUCUUUCAUUGAGGGGACGGGGGUGCUUGUCCCACUCGACUUUUGAAGAGCAAGCAAAUAGAAUGUUAAGUAAGCUCAGACUCCUGAGUGACCAAAGAGCUAGAAAUUCAGCUUUCCGCUUUUCUUCGCAACAUACAUGAAGCCAUUAUGCAUGCACUGAGCACUACCGUAUUAAAUUCGACUCCUCGUAUAACU